Molecule: ribosomal RNA, 253 nt
Filed under: uncultured bacterium
Lineage: Bacteria
Description: partial 16S ribosomal RNA
Rfam family: Bacterial small subunit ribosomal RNA
Source: RNAcentral
UACGAAGGGUGCAAGCGCUACUCGGAAUUACUGGGCGUAAAGGGCGCGUAGGCGGCCUGCUAAGUCGAACGUGAAAUCCCCGGGCUUAAUCCGGGAACUGCGUCCGAUACUGGUUGGCUUGAAUCCGGGAGAGGGAUGUGGAAUUCCAGGUGUAGCGGUGAAAUGCGUAGAUAUCUGGAGGAACACCGGUGGCGAAGGCGACAUCCUGGACCGGCAUUGACGCUGAGGCGCGAAAGCCAGGGGAGCAAACGGG